AGAGCUCCACACUGGAGCCUCUGCAGAUGUCAUUCGGACCGCAAGCUGAUGCACAAACAUGAGUUAAAAUAAGAAGCAAGACUGUAGAAUGAAAAAGCUGAAAGAUACUGAAGUUAUAUCUCAUCAUUACCAGUGAAACACACGGCGGACAUCAUAGAGUUGAAUUUUCUCUGCAGAAAAUCAUCUCUGGUGAUCUCAUGAACUCAUUUCAACAAAGAUUUAUCAGCUAACUCCUGACAUGUGCCAUAAAACCCAGAAAUAAUAACAGCACAGAUGAUAAAAGGUUAAUUCAAUAAGAGGUAUCAUUGCAUCUUCUAUUAAAAGGGUUGUUGGUUCACUGCGGGAGACAUUUUUACAACUGGUGAUGGAAAAAAAUAAGAUUUGAUUAUUGUGUUUAAAUCAAGAAUUUUACAAACAAACACAAGGAAAGAUACUUGAAACAUUAACCAGGUGAUGUUGAAACUUUCCAUGUUGUGAUAAACUCCAGCUGCCCCUGUUGUGAUGUUCAUCACAGUGUGGACAAAUAAGUCAGUCCAGCUGUUCUUCAGGGUUUUAUCAUAAAGCCAUCAAGCAGGAAGGCAGCAUCUCCCUGAAAACACUAAACCUGAUUGAAUUAUCUGACCUCUCUGAAGCUUGAAAUAAAAUAGUCUUUGUCCUGCAAGUUCUCUGCAAAAUAUCAGGAAUCACUCAUCAUUAACUCAAAACAACCAACCUCUACUUCAAACUACUGAGUCACUGGAAAAUAGCUAAAACAACCUUCAUCCAAGAACAACUUGUCCUAAUUUGGUUCUUUUUUUUUUGCAGGUAAACAAACUUCCAAGGUAGGUCCAAAAGAAUUUACAAGACCAAAAUAAAAUGUGUUAAAGUUUCAUGUCUCUGUCCAGACACAAAGUUCAACCUCUGCCACAAAUGAAUAUGAAACACAUGUACACUAACAUGACCACAAUAUGAUAUAGGACAUUAAAACUCAUUCUUAAGAUACCACAGCACUGUGAGUAAAACUGCACGACCUUUUGGGAGAGGUAAUGUUAAAAAGGAGACAGCUGAAUGAAUCAACAAGUUAUACCCAUACUGCUCUUACCUCAUGAUAAAUAAGUCAUCUGUUUAUGAACAAUAUAGAUGCAUUUAACAGCAUUUAACUUAUAUUAACUUCUCUGUAAGUCUGUUUUAAAGCAAGAAUGGAGAGAAAAAAGCUUUAAUCUGAUUGGCUGCUUUAAGUAUAAACAUCAUAUCUAUGACAAUAAUUCAGUUAGUUUGGACAUUACGUCUACCAGUUAUGAUUAACUCACAUGAGUGUGGUGCAACCAGACAAAGGUACAACUUGGUCUUGAAAGUGGGAAAGCAAUGUCAGUUUCUGGGAACAGAUGUGAGAGCAGCCAGAGUAGUCUCUGGACCACAACCCAUUCCUGACAGGGGAAAGUGGAGCAACAUCUUGUCCUGCAAUCCGUCCUAAAAACAUCACGAAACAUUGCAACGUUUUUCCAAUCUUCUACUGUACGAUUUUGGUGACACUGUGUGAAGUGUAGCCCCAGUUUCCUGUUCCCAGUUUGGUCUUCUGCUGCUGUAGCUUAUCUGCUUUAAACUUUGGUUCCUACUAUAUCCAUUUUGAGGACAUUUCUCAUUUUUUUCAUAUUUAUUUUGAGCUGACAGUCACAGUUUUAAAGAUUGGGGCAUCGAAUUUGGUGAGAGUUAUUAUUUUUCUUUAUUUAAAAAAAAAAAAAAAAACCUCAGUGUCACCUGUAGUUCUCCAUCCACCCUACUUUGUUCACAAAUCGGACAAUAGACUUCCAUUAAAAACACGUUUUUUGACCGUGUGUUUAUGGCACCAUAACAACAUAUUGCAACCUUUUUUUGCAGUCACUUGAUCAUCAGGGCUCUAAAUUAUACUUUCUGACAGUGAUACAACCGAUUGAGCCAACACAUAAUUUUAACCCCUUUGGUGCCGCGCACAGAGGUCUUCAUUCAUGGACUGAGAGUGUUUGAAGUGCUGAUUCAUCCACUAAACAUCAUCAGAAAUGAAUGAAACUUUACAUGCAACUCGAUAUGGAUGUCUGAGAGUGGGAUAUGUGCAUAGGGAAAAGUUUGUGUGCUCCUGGUUGUAUGGACGGGUGAGAAUCUGCAUCCAUGUUUAUAACCGGGCAUGCCGUGAGCUGAGUUUUUACAAUCAAAAAUCCAACAUCCAAGUUCUGCAGUGUGGGACAAAGAAAGUGGGACAUUUGGACAAUUACAACUUUGCCCUCACUUCGGAUCAAGUGGAUGGACAUGCUCGAGGAUGCACAGGUCCAGAACCCGGGGUUAAGAUUCGUUAAGAUUUGGCUAUUUGACUUACUGUUGCCUUUCUAUCAUCUCGAACCAGUCUGCCUUCUGACCUCUAACAUCAACAAGGCAUUUUGGUCCACACACCUGCAGCACACUGGAUAUUUUCUCUUUUUUGGACCAUUUUCUGUAAACCUUAGAGAUGGUGGUGCCUGAAAAUCCCAGUAGAUCAGCAGUCUCUGAAAUACUCAGACCAGCCUGUCCGGCACCAACAAUCAUGCCACAUUCAAAGUCACUUUAAUCUCCUUUUUUUCUCAAUUCUGAUGCUCAGUUUGAACUCCAGAAAGUUAGGGUGACCAUACGUCCUCUUUUACCCAGACAUGUCCUCUUUUUUGGGUCCUGUUGGGCCUUGUCCAGCUUUGUCUGGGGAAGUUUAUAAAAUUCUUCAAAUGCCCGGGGUUUUGUAUGGAAGUUUUGAGUUUGUGUGGCAUGGAUUUACUAAGUGAGAAGUGCAUAAAAAACACUCGACCCAACUCAAAAAACUCUCAAAAUUAACUACGAGUGACUCUGUGACAUCGCCCCCAUAUAUUUGUGUCCUCUUUUUGUGGAUUCAGAAUAUGGUCACCCAAAGAAAGUUGUCUUGACUACGUCUACAUGACUCAACGCAUUGAGCUGCUGCCACAUGAUUGGCCAAUAAGCUAUUUGUGUUAACGAGCAAUUGACCAGGUGUACCUAAUAAAGUAGCUGGUGAGUGAAUGCCUGUUAGUUCUUACUGUGGAAAACUAUGUAAAAAAUGCAACCAGGUCAAACUGACUGUCUGGAGGGAUAUGAAAGUUCCUUUAAAUGUCAAAAGGUGUGAUAAAAAGCAGAAAAUCCUCUUAGAAAGUGAUUAUUCAUGCUCGGUUUGUAUUUCCAAACCAUUUUUGGUACCAGUGUGAGCGAUAAAUCCGUCUUUUAUCUCUUUCCUUCACACAGGAGAACUCACUGACCGAGGCUAAAGGGACUGGACGCCUGAACUGAUGGAUCUUGAUUCAAACUCUGUACCAGGAAACACUCUGACCCAUUUGGAACUUUUUCAUCUUCAAACUUCCUCGUUUCUUUCUUUCAACAUUUGUUUUUAAUCUUCAGAGAAGUUGGCUCAUGAGGGAACUGAAGGCAAAAACAGGAAAAGGUUGUAUCUCUGCACGGAGAUCAGAUCCUCGGACCCCCUGCGGUGCAGAGUACUCGUCCCAAUUAAGUCCCAUUGUGACAGAGUUACACACAAAGGAUGCAUGCGAGGGAAAAAUCAGACGGUUUGACAAAGAGCACAAAAGUAAACGUUCUGAAAAUAGCAUAAAGAUGCUUUUCUGGUUGUACAAAAUAGAGAGGAAAAAUAUCAUGAAUAGAUUGCAAACAGAGAGCUUUUACUUUGCAUAAAUCUGAAGUUGUUUAACAGAACGUGUCCAACUGGCUGAAAAUCCAUCAGGCUGUGUGUCAGUUCAAGCUUUGUCCAGGUGAUGAAUAAUGAUGGAGGAAAAGUGCUGUUUGAGAGCUCUUCAGACCACCCAAAGGCAACUCAUAGUUCAGAGUCAGGUCAGCACACACUGUGACACAAAAUGAAAGGUUAGGUUUUCCACCAAACUGUCCACUAACUCAGAUACAUGUGAGGGAUGUACUUGGAAAAAAAAAAGGAGUAACCAGUACAGGCUUUGGCUGACGGCGUGGCUCUGUGGAUGCUGAUGUAGCUGAGUCAGUCUAUUCCAGCCCAGACUGAAGCAUCUAUAAUCACAAACAUCCAUGUUAACAGAUGUUGGAUGGUUGUUGUUGUAAAUGUCUACACAUCUCUCUAUUUUUCCUCUCUACUCCUUGUCUAACCCCAACACCAUCUCAGUAUAUGACGAUCAAACAUGAGUUGGUCUUGCUCAAGUGAAAGGAAGUUUCUCCUCUGAUUGUAACUUGCUAAAUGAUGAAAAUUAAAUAAUGAACCGAACACUUCAAACCAUGGUUGAAUUUUAGCAACGAUUAACACCUUAAUUUGUUGUGAUUCAUAAUAAACUAAACAUCUUUUAUUAAAGAUAAUGUUAGAGAAGGUGCGCAGGGCUUUUGCAGGGAUUUGAACAUGACUUUUCCAUCCUCAUUCAGCUCCCCCUCUUCUCAGAGCUUUGCUGUUGACCACCUUUAGACAUAAACUAGGCAAAUGCCACAACUUUGAAACCCACUGUUGGUGUUAUCACUGCUGCUGAUGGGUUAUGUUACUCUGCUGCAGUUGCCUGGAUAAGCAGGACAAGAUAUUGCUCCACUUGUUCCUACAGGUCUACAGGUCCUCGUGCUCUUUUAAAACACACCAACAUUCAGAGCAGUGGCGAUUGCUCUAAGACUGCAAGGGAAGCUCGGCUUCCCUUAAAAUGUCACCCCCCCAAAAAAAGAAAAAGUGGUGAAAUACGUACUGCUGUGUGUACAUUUCAUUAACUAAAUACGCACUAGAAAGCCUUCAUCUUUUGUUCAGACACUGUGAUAAGAAGCUGAUAAUCACAGGUAACCGGCAUAACUUCGUUCUCAUUCAUCCUCGCAGCCCCUCAGCGAUUCACACAGCCGGACGCUGGGCUUCUGCUGACUUCAAUGUGGAAGCUUAAAGUGGGUUGUUCCAGCAGUGAAACUAGACGCUCAUUGGAUAAAUGCUGGGCUUUGUCCCGCCCAUCGGAAGCCCAGCUUCACUGGAGUUCUAUGGCGAGAGGGCGGUCCCGACUUUCUCCCGGACUCCAAGCUUCUGCAUUCAUGAUUGGAUGAGCUGUCUGAGGCGAAAUCCUUUUUUGAUUGACAGCUAAACAAGCGAAUCAGCGAUCUUGAAGAAUAAAACAUCUACCAGAGCAUUUUCCAAGUUAUUCAUUCCGUUGUUCUUAACUGCUCCGGAGACUUUACCGAUCCUCAGCGACUUUUGUCUUUGUUAAAAAUGACUGCCGUUGUGUUUGGCGACUCUGUUCUGUUACAUACUAAUAAACAAAUACAAUUAUGAUGUAGGCCAGAAAAAUGAGCUUCCCCUCCUUGAAAGACCAGCAGCCGCCACUGAUUCAGAGUCACUAGAACUUGAACUGCACUAUUUCCUUCGUCACAGCAGUAGACAGAGGGGGAACUUUUGUUGUUGUGUAUUUUUUUUUUGUAUGGCAUUGUUUCUUUUAAAACGAAACCCAGAUUUAACUCGUAAAAGGAAAAACCCUGUUAAAGUGGUGAUGAGUAAAAUAAGUCUGUCUGUGCCUCUCUCUUGAUGGGCUCAAUAAUCAUAAAACAGAGCUGAGCCGUCGUCUGGUAUGUCUGGUCUGGAAAACUCGUCUUAUUUAUGACUCAGCACAUGUUAGUGCUUAAAUUUACAUGAAAGACAUUGUGGGACUAAUGAAAAAAAGAAACAGACAUUUCCAGUUCAGCUCAGAUAUUCCAUCCUCUUGUGUGCUGUUUGGCGAAAGAGUAGAAAAGAAUUCAGACACGUUUCAUGUCAUUUAUGAUUUACAGAAAAGAAGAGCAGUGAUUUAUUAUUCUCCAAAACACUGUAAUGUCAGACCUUUUCCAAACCUCAACAGAUCUGAAAGCCAGGGUUUGUGGAAGUACAAAUAAUAAGUUCAUAUAGGGUAAUGAUCAGACUGUAGGAAAUCUUUGUGUCCACAAGAAUUUGAUGAAGACAUGUCUGUCCUACAUUAGCCUGGCCUCACUUAAGGAAGCCUGACGCAACAUCUGUCUCUUAAUUUCACAUCAAUAGGGUGACCAUAUAAUUCCCCUAAAAAGAGGACACUGCUACGCGGGGGCGGAGUCAUGAAGUCAUGCAUAAUUAAUUCUGAGAGUUUUGGGGUCGGGUUGAAUGUUUUUUACACGCUUCUAACUCAGUUAGUCCACGACACAAACUCAAAACUUCCAUACAAAACGGACAGUCCCCCAAAAAGAAGGACAUGUCCGGGUAAAAGAGGACGUACGGUCACCCUACACAUCGAGGCAAGUCACGUACAUCCAGUCAAAUUAGCCUUGCUUAUUAUAGCCAAAAGUAGCUGAAAAUGAAGGCUUUACCUUUAUUUUAUCUUGAAACACUGCAGAGAGAACAAAUCACUCUCUGCCUGUUUGUGGAAAUGAAGCAACUACCGAAACUCAAAUCAAUGAAAAUCAACUUUCACUGGGGCAAAUGCCACUCCAAUGCUAUAGUCUCUCUUCUGGACUCACCGCUGCUUAAAGUAAAGAACUUACCUUUAUCACAUUUCAGUUACAUCUACAUUUUUAGAAAAAGAAAUGCAGUUAUUGUCAGUAAAUUAAGCAACUGUCUAUUGCCUAUCCUAGCUCAGCUCAAUGUUCAGCCUAAACAAAGACCUUCAAAAGUGUUUAUCAGUCAGAUUUUAGAUCCAGUAGUAUAUGGUAACCAUCAUAUUAGCAACAUUUUCCAUUAAGGUUUACAAAUCCCCACAAAUUCAGCCCCCGUCCGGCACCGUGUUGAUUUUCUGCCUGAUGAUGAGGAUGAGGAUGAGAAAGAUGCAGAGGCAGGAAAAUUUUCAAAGCAAAGCUGGCGAGUCCUCCAGAAGAACCCAUUCAAAUACACGACAAAUAUCAUCCAGAACCUAAACCCUGAACGAGAGAGCUGUUGAAGAGUGGUAGCUAAUGAGGAAAAGGAAAGAGGCAUCGAGAUGUGAGUGGUUUUACACGCAUGUCUGUGCAAAUCACUCCUGUUGUUGCAUCACCACAGGAGCCGGUUCAAAGCCUCUCCAUAGAAGCGAUGAGCUACAGAAACAUUAUAGAGGAUUUUUGCUCCCACGUCCUCGGGGUCAUUAUAUAGGAACUUCUAAACUUAGGAAAUAAGUUGAUGCAAUUGCAGCACUAACCUUUAGGACGCUGACGUCACACUGUGAAGUCAUUUCAGAUAAACUAUAAUGUUAUUGGUGACAGUAAAGCUAUUUUCAGUCUUCGGCUGUCACUUCAGCCUGGCCUAUCACCUCUUGUUUUUACUGUCUCAGAGGAUAGUAAGAAACAGAACAGAAAAGGUCCACCGAUCUGGCGCUGUUCCUCCUCAUGACGCCCCCGGCUGUCAUCUAUCAUCAGGCGGUGCGAGUGGGUGGCUCACACUCAUCAAGAUGUGACCCACAGCGUCACUAUCUGUACAACCUGCCCAGCUGAUAAGUGAUGGCUCCCUGAGGGUAAUAACCUGCUCUUUCUCACCUCAUUGAGGUCAGCAUUCCUCACAAUAUCCUCCUGUGGUUGAACCCAGAAC
This is a non-coding RNA of Xyrichtys novacula (pearly razorfish), 7471 nucleotides long. The record is from the annotation of a GenBank genome assembly. NCBI's taxonomy places the organism in Eukaryota, Metazoa, Chordata, Actinopteri, Labriformes, Labridae.